This is a long non-coding RNA of Lynx canadensis (Canada lynx), 533 nucleotides long. RefSeq lists it as uncharacterized. The record is from RefSeq and is a predicted model, not a curated record. The transcript is spliced from 4 exons. Lineage: Eukaryota; Metazoa; Chordata; Mammalia; Carnivora; Felidae.
GUUACUGAGACGGGUUUGGCCGGACUUUAUGCUUUAUUGAAGUUGAACUGUUGGGGCCAGGAUAAGGAGGAGAUAGAGGGCACUAGGCGUUACACAGAUACUACACAGUGGAUGAAAGCCUAAGUGGGGAGCGCACUCCUGAGGAAGAUUCUCUGGGUCACUCCUCUCAUACUCGUCUAACUCUGGAAAUAUCAGAUAUGGGUGUCCCUUCCAGCUCUUUCUACACCAUCCAAGACCCAGUCCUGGCUGGCCCUGCCUGGGGCUUUGGUGCUCACCAGCGUCUGUGGAAUCCAGACACAGGUGCUGCUGGUUCUCAGGCUUUGGAUUCUGGAUUGGAACUGCACCACCAGCCCGCUUUCCCAGGCCUCCAGCUUGCAGAUGGCAGAUCGUGGAACUUCUUAGCCUCCAUAGUCAUGUAAGCCAACCCCUGAUAAUAGAUCUCUUUUAUAUACAUGGGUAAAUGCCCUAUUGUUUCUGUUUUUUUUUUUAACGUUUUUAAAAAUUUUAUUAUUUUUUAAAAUUUACAUCCAAGU